Molecule: ribosomal RNA, 327 nt
Filed under: Triticum aestivum (bread wheat)
Lineage: Eukaryota; Viridiplantae; Streptophyta; Magnoliopsida; Poales; Poaceae
Description: partial small subunit ribosomal RNA
Source: RNAcentral
AUGGUCAUCCACCCGCCCUGGUCUUGCGAACUCGAAUGCGAAGACAUAGUUGAUCCAGAGUCUGACCCUGACUCCUACAUGGCUUGCGUCCGUGAAUGCUACUUGGGGUUCAGGAAUACCGUGUGUGGGAGGGCAGAAGGUGAAGAUGCAAGAGAAGGAGGAGGAGGAGCCGGUCUCCUAGCGAUGCCGGUGGAGCAUGCCGGCCCGGAAGAAGGAGAAGGGAAGAGGAAGCAAGAGGAUGCCGCCGUCCAGCUGAGCUACAACGAGAAGACCACUGCUACGAUCUCUGCAUCCGCAAGAAGGGCCUGGAGUUCCCUAAAUGCAUGA